UGGUAGUGAACUGUUGACUAAAAUUAAGGAAGAAAUUAGUGCCGAUUGUGCCGAUUCUCUGUAAUUGAACGAUGUAAUUGGGGUUUAUUGAAGCUGCUGAAAUUGGGUUGAGCUCGAAUAUCCCCAUGAGCUAUACGAUUGAAUUAAAGUUGUUGGUCUUGGAUGUGAACACAGGGAGACUUCCUUGGAACUGAAAUUGAGUUCGAUUAGACAUUUGGGAGGGGUUUUACUUGAAUUUGUAACGAUCAUCAGUACCAAUCAAUUGGAUAGAAUGGGCUAAUGUUUUGAGAUGAUACCUAUCAUUGGCAAGGAGAAAUUUUGGUGAUUGAUUUUGUAAUGAAUUCGGAAUUUGAAACCAAGGGUUUCAUCUAAUAGAGGUUUGAUUUACAGGAUAUAUAUUUAUGAGGUCGAAAGUUCAAUUGAUUUUGAUAAUUAGUGUUUUAGUUUGUGCUUUUGGAGGCAAAGCAGAAUCGGGAAGAAGAAGAUGAUGAAGAGGAAUAAAAGAAGAGCUUACAUAUCUGUCCUUAUGAGUUUGGGACCUUCGAGCCUCAUAAGUCCCUGGAUGAAGUGUUGCUGAGCAUUACAGUCGGGGACACCUGUUGCAACUUCGAAUCCAUGAACUGGCUUAAUGGAUUGAUCUCACAUAACACAUUAAAGAAGGAGACUUGAAUCAACCUGGUACCGUCAAUUGGCCCAUUGGAUUGAGUUUUUCUGCUCUCUUGUGAUCACUCAUUGUGUACCGAAUUCCCUCAUGAUCGAGAUACCUAUCAUUGGCAAGGAGAGAUUUUGGUGAUUGAUUUUGUAAUGAAUUCGGAAUUUGAAACCAAGGGUUUCAUCUACUAGAGGUUUGAUUUACAAGAUAUAUAUUUAUGAGGUCGAAAGUUCAAUUGAUUUUGAUAAUUAGUGUUUUAGUUUGUGCUUUUGGAGGCAAAGCAGAAUCGGGAAGAAGAAGAUGAUGAAGAGGAAUAAAAGAAGAGCUUACAUAUCUGUCCUUAUAAGUUUGGGACCUUCGAGCCUCAUAAGUCCCUGGAUGAAGUGUUGCUGAGCAUUACAGUCGAGGACACCUGUUGCAACUUCGAAUCCAUGAACUGGCUUAAUGGAUUGAUCUAACAUAACACAUUAAUGAAGGAGACUUGAAUCAACCUGGUACCGUCAAUUGGCCCACUGGAUUGAGUUUUUCUGCUCUCUGGUGAUCACUCAUUGUGUACCGAAUUCCCUCAUGAUCAAGGUAUAUAUAAAUAUAUUUAAAAUUUCAGUCCAUUUCGAGUUCGAUGAGUAACUAUUCAACUUUGAAUUUUUUUUUCUCCCAACUUUUACAAGGUAACAGCUUCCUCAAAUUUAGUAUGUUUAUAUUUAGAAGGUAACAACUUCCUCAAAUUUAUUAUGUUUAUAUUUCUGGAUGUGCUAUCUGAAGCCUUAAAUUUAUAAGGAAUCUACGCUCAAUUGUUAUUUUGUUGAGCUUUGAAUUUGCAUGGAAUCUAUGUGCAUUGUUAUUUCAUAAAUACUGGAAAAAAAUCUCUUAUCGUUUGUCUGCCUUAUAUCGUUUGCCUGUCUUAUAAUUUGUGUAUUUUAUGUAUCCAAACGAAUUUUUGCUGCAUAUUCUUAUCAAACUAUUUGUACUCCUUUCUUAGUAAGGUCUUUUGUUUGUUUUUGCGUGUUCUGCUUUGUAUUGCUAUGAUGAUACUUAAUAUAUUUUUCUUUCUGAGUUGGUAUUGUUUUUGUGAUUUCAGCGAUGAAGAACUCACUUGGCCUUGAUAUUCAUAACCUAAACAACUGGGGAAAAUUCAGGACACCUCAAUACACUGAUUUGGCCUUUGAAAUGAUAAUUGAUUAAACAUAUUUUCUCUCUUCGUAUCAAUAGAUAUCAUGUGAUACCAAUGAACUAAUACCUAGCGUAACUAAUGCACAGAGCCUCAACUCUGUCGCACCAUAUGCUCACUAAUAUUGGCAAAUGCUAAUCCAUGUUUAUAAUUAUUUGCAGUGGAGACAAACUGAUAAUAUCCGUCUGGUGACUGUUUUUUGCAAGUCGGUAGUAAUGUUGCAGAACAUUCAACAGUUGUACGUAGUCACAAUGUGCUCUAACUUCGUAAAGAAAUACCAAGGUAACUAAUGGAUUGUCGUGGGUUAAAUUUUUUCUUAUCCGUGCUAGGUUGAUAUCAAGCAGAUACUAAUCUUGAUAAAAAAAAUGGCGAGGAAGUACUCCCUGUCUUCCACUAAUGGUACGAAAGCCUAUCCGUACCUGUUAACCUUAACUACAAAGUUAGGAUAAUGAUCCCUGCCGAGAAAGGAAAAUCAGAAAAUCAUAUUUUGAAACUGUAGAAAGUGUUACUCGAGAGACCAUCUGCGAGCUCCUGUUGAGUGGAGUGAAUAUAAGUGAUAACAUGGUGUAAGAAACGGGUUAUAGGAUUUGGAAGCUAAACAAGUAUAGAAGCUCAUGUUGAGUGCAUCCAUAACACCUAUGUUCCUUGAUGUGUAUCUUAAGUAAGGUAGUAGAUUUUCAUUUCACUGUGUUCGUUAUUUUAUUUUCACUGUAUUCCAUGAUUUGUUCAAAGCUACUUGGGAUAUAGUUACCGUCCCGUUAAUAAUUGGUUUCCUAACGCUGACACUAAUUGUGUAUGAAACGAUUUCUUCUUCUAACUCUGUUUUUGUAAAUACAGUGUGUCCUAACUCUUAACUUUGCGACAUCUCUUCUGCGUUCGAUUUUUUUAUUGAUUCACGUAUUAUAGAUUUUUUCGAGGAAGAUUGGCUUAUCGGUUUACCAAUAUGAGGUACGUAUUGAUAUUUUUUUGAUUGAUUUCUCUUCUUUUCGUUUAAACAUUCUUUUCAAAUAAUGGCAUCUACCAUUAAAAACAAAAGAUAUGAUUCGAGAGAUAUAAUUUUCCUUCCUCUUGGGUUCCCAAUGGUACUCCUCUUUCAUGCAAAACUCAUGGUUUGUUGUAGUUGUUGGCUACCAUCGGUUUUGGUGGUAUGUGACAAUAAUUAGGAGAAAAUUUCAGAGGUUAGGACAAGCAUGGAAUAGGUAACACGAGUUUGAAGAAUUCUGGGUUAUUCUUUGACCGAGAGAAUAGGGAAGAAAUGUGAUCUCGCUGCUGUCUUUUUACGUGAUUGAUGAAUGAGAUAUCGAGCAUUCAGAAUUCUUUGUUGAAAGAGAACAACAAGACCACCAGUUGAAAGAGGCACAAAAGUGUUCAAAAUAACGCAUGAACGAUCACCAGCUUAGUUCCACCGUGUGGCUGCCAUGGGUUAAAGAAUUUGAAGUGGAGAAGGACUGAAAAUCGAGUAGUAUUUGCUGAUUUGGGUUGAUGGGAUGAUUAUAUGAUAUCAAUUCACGGUGCUAAUGGAUUAACAUAGGAUUAGACACAUGGGUUCAAAUUAUAAAUGGCUUGCCGAGAAAUCAACCUGUCAUUGAUAUUGAAUGCAGAAGAUUAAUCACAACUAACAAAAAGGCUGGAAGUAGAGCAAUGAUACGGUAUAUACGAUCACACUAAUUUCUCUAUUGCAUCUAUUAACAAUUUUUUUAAAAGCAGACGUACCAGUUAGAAAAGACGAAUAGAAACAUGAAAGGUGGGUAUUGUAAUUCAGCACAUCCCGGUCUGCAAGUAGAGCAGUUUGGGUAGAACCAAUUGAACUGCCAGCACAGAUUUCUUUAUAUGGUCAGAUUCUAUGAACUAUGAACAGAUUAAUUUUGAGGUUUGAUUAACUAUGAACUGGGAAUCUGCAGUUCCUUCAUGAUGCCUCCAUUCAGGUGUCUAGGGGAUUUGUUAGUUUUUCCGUUUGUAAUUUGAUUAAUUAAUUUCAAGCAUGUCUUCUUCUUCCUCUUACAAGCAGCUAUCGAUUGAAAAAAGAACACAGUACUGGUGUGUUCUUUUAGGGACAAGCAGGAAGGGAUAUUAUAUUCAUCCAUUCAUUCCUCAGCUGAUAUAUUUGUGUUUCUAAAGAAUAAUGUUCUGAAAGAAGGUGGUUUCUACCAUUGGCGUUGCGAUUCUCUUGCUACGGUAAGGGUUAGAUUCAGGAUUUUUGUCUUGGGGUGCACAAAAAACAAGUACAUUUGUUUGGUAUUUCCUUUAUAUGUCUUGGGGUACACACAAAAGCUUGGAAAAAUCUCAUCCUUCUUCGUGAAUUUACUCGCACUUGCUAUCGUUGUCAAUUAGGCUUACUGGAAAUUUACGAUCACCUGAAAUAUCGCAAUUCAGAAGUUGCUUCUUCUAAUUGUACGGUUGGUAGUGGUGUCCGUCCCAGUGGUAUUCAUGAGUUAGAUGUGGGUCUUCUUCUCUGGACUGGCAGCAGUUCUUGGCAGAGGAUGGAGAAAGGAAGGACGGUCUCAUCAUGGGACUUAUGCCGCUAUUCAUUGGAUGGAGUGUUGACUGUUUGCAGACGUGGUACCAGAAACUCCAAGAGCGGCCAGUGAAUAAAAGAACAUGUAUAAAACUAUUUAGAGUGUGCCUUUGUAUAUACUUCUUUUUGAUUCCUCCCUUUAAUCCAUAGACAUGGCUCCAACUAUCAGAACUGCAAUAAGAAUAGGUUAGGUAUUUUUAGGUAUCAUCUGAAUGAGUAAAUUAAUUGUUGUACAAGAUACAUGUUUAGUCUGAAUAUGGAAGAGCCUUUGCAGUUGAUGUU
Molecule: long non-coding RNA, 4617 nt
Organism: Papaver somniferum (opium poppy)
Lineage: Eukaryota; Viridiplantae; Streptophyta; Magnoliopsida; Ranunculales; Papaveraceae
Exons: 12
Source: RefSeq, a predicted model, not a curated record